This 228-nucleotide long non-coding RNA is filed under the name Panax ginseng (ginseng). RNAcentral's name for it is "long non-coding RNA (PGIN_LNC017523)". The record is from RNAcentral. Lineage: Eukaryota; Viridiplantae; Streptophyta; Magnoliopsida; Apiales; Araliaceae.
UUGGACAAAGGACCAAGAAGAAAAUUAAGGGAACUUAACACUAUGUUUUUUGAGUUUUAAAAUGGACGAAAAAGAAAAGAAAUUGACAAAAAAACUUAGUUUUUUGUUCAUUUCCUUUUUGCUUAGUUUUUGAAUGAACGAAAAAAGUAAAGAAAUAUACGGAAAACUGAUAAAAACUUUAGUCUCUUUGACCAACUUUGAAAAGCUAGCUACUCAAUGAGAGAUGUU